Molecule: RNA transcript, 560 nt
Organism: Octodon degus (degu)
Lineage: Eukaryota; Metazoa; Chordata; Mammalia; Rodentia; Octodontidae
Gene name: heterogeneous nuclear ribonucleoprotein C pseudogene
Exons: 1
Source: RefSeq, a predicted model, not a curated record
UAGAAAAAAUUGAAAAGGAACAGAGCAAACAAGCAGUGGAGAUGAAGAAUGAUAAGACCGAAGAGGAGCAGACUACCACCUCCCAAAAGAAAGAUGAGACCAAUGUGAAGAUGGAAUCUGAGGGUGCUGUGGAUGAUUCUGCUGAGGAGGGGGAUCUAUUGGAUGAUGAUGAAAAUGAAGAUCGGGUGGAGGACCAGGUGAAAAUGCUGGAGUUGAUCAAGGAUGAUGAAAAAGAGGCUGAGGAAGGAGAGGAUGAUAGAGACAGCGCCAAUGGCGAGGAUGACUCUUAAGCACAUAGUUUGGUUUAGAAGUCUUGUCCCAUUAUUUCUUUAUCUAGGCACUUGUCUAAGAUCAAAAUUUCACCAGAUCCUCUCCCCUAGUAUCUUCAGCACAUGCUCACUGUUCUCCCUGUGUCCUACCAUGUUCAUAACUGCCCUGCACCUAGUACCAUUUUCACUUCCUCUGAUGCUCCUAGUAGUUUUGUUAAGUCUUCUCCUGUAAUUUUUGCUUUUUAAUUUUGAUACCUCUUUAUGACUUAACAAUAAAAAGGUUGUAUGGUU